GGCCGAAUGGCGCAAUGGUAGCGCGUUACUUUCCGGUUCACGACCUGCCGCCUUCAGGUGGACCUGGUCUACGACAGCUGGUAAAGGUUCUGGGUUCGAGUCCCAGUUUGGUCG
Non-coding RNA from Echria macrotheca, 114 nucleotides. NCBI's taxonomy places the organism in Eukaryota, Fungi, Ascomycota, Sordariomycetes, Sordariales, Schizotheciaceae. The record is from the annotation of a GenBank genome assembly.